GAGUUGUGAACCAAAACACCGAGUUAAUGAAAGAAGGAAAGAAGAAUCAUGAUUCCUGGUUGGCGAAAGCUAGAAAAACUAAAGAUGGUUGAUUUUAUUUCGAAAAACAUCCGGACGUGGUCGUACUCUUUUUUAUAUUAUGGUGAUAUGACGGUGCAUUUGUGAACCUUUCAAAUAACAACAAGAGAGUUCUCGAUACAACUGGUGUUUGCGUAAGGACGUCACUGACACAUUACGUCAUACGUCACACGGUAUGAUUGUUUACGUAUCAUAGAUACAGCUAAAAAUAGUCCCUCCCUGAAGCACAAUCUAAAUGGAGUAUCUGUUAUCCGAACUCCAAUUUAAAUAAUUUAUGGACUUUUCCUCACAAACUUUUCAUCCCUAGUAAAAUUAAAGAACGUGCUCAUAGAUAUUAGGCCUUCUCUUGUAAUUUUGUUUUUCUUUUUUUUCCUGAGAAUGUAUCUUCUUUAUGUUCCUUUUGCAAUACUGAAGAAGAAUCAGUUUUACAUUUGUAUUAUCAGUGCCCAUUCUCAGUCCUUUUGGUCAGAAGUUACCAUGUUAGUUUUCUGCUGAUGUAGCAAACUGGUACAAAUGACUGAAUCAUUUUCUUGUCUGAUUUUCAUUCUAAGGAUGUUACUUGAUUACAAUGUUUUACUGCUUUGUCUUCUGGGUAAAUUUCAUCUUCACAAAGCCAGAACUAUCCACUGUAAUCCCAAUUUUAGUAUGUUUUCUUCUGAUUUAAAGUCCCUUUUUACUUCCUUUAGGAACGUUUAACAUCCUUGACAUUCUUGAAUUUGUUGUAAAGAACCUUUAAAUUUAUUUAUUAUUUUGUUGACAUUGUCAAAAUCUAAUACUGUGUUGAUUUAAUUAUAACCUCUUGUGAUGUCUGUAUGCCCCCUAUUUUAUUUUAUUGUAUUUUUUUUCUUCUCAUUGUUAAUAUAUGUAUCCUCAAUUUGCAAUUAUAAAAAAAAUAAAUAAAUAAAUAAAUCUCCAGUUUGACAGAGCUUA
This is a long non-coding RNA of Ctenopharyngodon idella (grass carp), 1008 nucleotides long. RefSeq lists it as uncharacterized. The transcript has 2 exons. NCBI's taxonomy places the organism in Eukaryota, Metazoa, Chordata, Actinopteri, Cypriniformes, Xenocyprididae. The record is from RefSeq and is a predicted model, not a curated record.